Molecule: long non-coding RNA, 3316 nt
Organism: Harpia harpyja (harpy eagle)
Lineage: Eukaryota; Metazoa; Chordata; Aves; Accipitriformes; Accipitridae
Exons: 5
Source: RefSeq, a predicted model, not a curated record
GACUUAAGUAAAGGGCUCAUGUUCUGAGGAGCAACGCCCAUUCAUGCAGUGUUUUCUGCUUGGUUAUGUUUGCUGAUGUUACUGAGUGGAGGAAAUACUGUGUGGGAGGCAGUUUCAUGAAUACUGAUGUUCAAUAUUGUGACAGAGCACAGGUACGCUGAGAGUGAACUGUCAGUUGAAGGAGAUGUGGGGAAAGUUUGUAUUUAUGAAUUAAUAUGGGAAAAGAAGAAUGGUAUUUCCUGGGCAGGGGGUUGCUAUGAGGAACAUGCACUGAAAUAAGGAAAAUCCACAAACAACAAAAUCAUAUAAACUAAUAGGCUGUCAGCCUCAGAAUGACGUUUUCAAAGAAGUUAAACUUGAAGUGAAGGAGGAAGGAUAAGAGUCUUGCAGGGUAUAGGUCUAAAAUUUUAAAUUUUAAGUUAUUUUAAACUUGUAAGUGGUAAUGUAAAAAAAAGCCUAUAAAUGGCCUGGAAUGAGUACAGUAUGCAACUGGCUGGUCUAUGUGAUGAGAGAUCUCAUGACUUACCAUUAUCCUGCGUAAUUUCCUUCCUUCUACUUCUUUUUAUGUUCUACUUUUUGGCUUUUACCUUUCUUAAGGAUCACUUUCUGCAAAUCAGUUAACAUGUACUUAAAUUUAGUCUCAAUGGCUUCAGGCGGACUAUUCACACCAGUAACUGAGAGUGCCAAACCCAUGAGGCACAGCUUUCAAAAAGUUAGCGUUGUUCAGCAUGGUAUUUAUAAUUAAUGCCUUUGGAUAUAUUUUCUAUUUGUCAUUUUUACUCUCCAGGGUCAUGGUUCCAAAACUAUUUUGAUAUCACGAGGGCUGCAGUCUUACAUUUUUAAAUGAAAUAUGAGGUUGUCAUGUGGUCACAGAACUACAAGAACUAGACACUGCAGUACAUUUGCAUAUGCAGAAAGCCCCUGGAAGAGAAUCCACAUCUCCCGAUUCCCAGGUCAUUGCUCUUUCUUCACAAGAUCCCUUUAAAACCUGCUGCUGUUUGCUCUGGUUGCUCUACCUGCCUCAUAUGUACUCUUCAACCAGUGUCACAAGCAGUACAAGAAACUGUUGCUUGUACCAUUGAUAGUGAUUCCUGAUUGGAUUUCAUUGUGAGAUCUGCUUCCUGCAAAGAGGAUUCUGCAUCUGAACAUAAACCAUCGCAUAAGACUUCAGAACCAAGAGUUCAUAUUCACAAGUCUCUCUGCUGAACGUAUCAUGUCACCAGUCAAGCUGAAUGCCAGGGGUGACACUCCAGAUGGACUCAGUCUGGCACUCCUGACUAUGGAAAAAAAACUGAGGCCAAAUCUUAACUCUACUGAAUUUAAGACCCAUUAAGUCUCUUGAAGUGUCUCGAUGACAGCCUCCACUGCACACCUGUUGGAUUUCCAUGGCUUCCAUGUAUAGUACAACAUCCCAAAGUACCGUGCCGUCUUCCGGGCUGACUGCAUAUUGCCAAUUGCCAAACAUUAGUAUUCCAGUGUAAAGACCAAAACUUCUCUGUGAAUACCAUUAGAACUGGGUCACUAACAGAAGGUGAGUGACAGCUUAACAUGCAAAACAACUAAAGCCAUUUCCUCUGUCUCAUACAGAGCAGAAAUACUGAGAGUGAAGAUUAUGUGUAUAUUGUGAGCAGAAUGACAAAUGACAAGCCUUAGCAAUAUACUUGUUUGGUGGCAUUAGUGAUGCAGCUCUGCCGUGGAAACAGUGAAAAUAGGUGAUCAGCUGGGUUUUGUGUGGCAUCAGUUUUGCUAAAUGUUCAAACUUAAUAGGAAUUCAAAUGAUUAAGUUAAGUAUUUCAUUUUGUAGAGGAAAUUCUCUUGAUCAGCAGCAUCCUAAUGACUUCUACUAUUUAGCAUUUUCUAUUCUGUUUGGAAUAAAGAGGUUUUAACCUCACAGCUUCAAGCUGUGUACCUCUAUUCCAGCUCGAGGAAUUAUUGCUGUAGCUGUGUGCUCAGCAGUCAUAAAAAUGCUGCGGAUGGAUUUAUGUAAUUUCAGAAAACAUUAUGGAAUAAGCUGGACUAGACUCUGUGUUCUGCCUUACCAAAGUCCCUUUAAACCAGCUAGAGAAGAAUGGAAGAGAACUCUUCCUGGAUAGCAUUGUUCCAGCUACCUUCUGAACCAGAAGGGCAUGCUGAGACCUUCUUUAUAUGGAGAAAAUGGAAGGUGGAAGCCAGGGAAAGGAAGUAUCUGGAACUGCAAAGAGAAACAGAAUUAACUGAGUAUUAGCUGAGUAUCAGUAAGUGAGCUACAGAAGCUCUCUCUGCUUUUGCUCCAUGUCAGUCAGUCUGGGUAACAUAAGAAUCAGCCCCUUUAUAAGCCUUUAUUAAUUACUCUUCUAUCUUUUUUUGGAUGUGACAGAUAUUUCUGGAAACAAACACUGUGAUUGUAGGCACAUCACACCACGCUCUGUCUCAUUCAUCUGUACCCCUUUUACCUGCCAAGCCUCUCAUGAUUCGUUCACUUUUAUUUAAAGUUGGAAAAAAACCAAGUUCAGAAAACUAGCUCUUACGGAAAAGAAAAAUCAGGUCACUCAGAUUGGUCUGCAGAUUCAGGUCAUAUUCAGUGAUGAGUUUAAAUGGAAAAAACAUGGGAGAAUCAGUAAAAUGAGGAAUAUUUUUCCUAUUCCUUCAACACGAAACCUCACUGUUCUUUUGUUUCAAAAAUAUUGGAAAGAUAUCUUGAGUCCAAAAUACAAAACAGGGAUUAAACAGAGAAGGAAAUAAUCCAGAAGCAAACCAAAUGCAAUCUUUUCACAAGUAAAAUGUCCUGUUAACCCCCAAAUGGCUUUUUGAUUCGGAGUGAUCAAAAAGAUUUUUAAAUUGUUUUGCAUAAAAUACUGAACCAGAAGGCAAUUAUUUGCAAUUCUAUCUAAAGCUAACAAUUAAGACUUGGUUUUAAUAUGUUUCAAAGGCAGGUAGUGUUGUUCAAAUUCUCAUUGUGACUUUUCUUCCCGUAUUCAUGAAUUCUUUUUUGGCACAUGAAGCGAACAGGUGUAAGCCAGUGCAAGGUGGCCCACAGGCCAUAACCAACAAAUAACUAAUUGGCAUCUAUGUUGCAACAGGGCAAAGAUCCAGCCAAAUUAUGAUGAGGCACUGUGCCAUCCUAAUAGACUCACAUUAUCACGGAUGCCAAGAUUCCAUAGAUUUGCAUUAUUUACAUUUAGUUAGGGCAGGAUUCCCAGCUGGGAAAUUCCACAUGGUUGUCCAUCUCUAUCAUAUACAAUUAUGAUGGAAAAAAAUCUCUGUGACUAAUCCAGCAUCCUGAAAUAGUUUUCAGCAAGAAUUUAAAUAUUCUUAAUAAUGAGUUAAAAACGCUCCC